This 621-nucleotide ribosomal RNA is filed under the name Triticum aestivum (bread wheat). RNAcentral's name for it is "partial small subunit ribosomal RNA". The record is from RNAcentral. Lineage: Eukaryota; Viridiplantae; Streptophyta; Magnoliopsida; Poales; Poaceae.
AUGAGAAUUAUCCCACCAUGCCCUUGUGCGAGAUGUGCCAGACGUCACCGUAGAAAUCAGACGGACAUGAGUGAGCACCUUCGUACGCACGGAUAUAUGCCAAACUUUGACAUGCCGCCGAUAAACAUAGCCGAGCAGGACCGUGGUAGAGAGGAGGUGAUGCGACAACGCAUCGAUGGAUAUGAGGACGACGGGGUCAGGGACAUGCUAGAUGAUGUCAUUGUUGCAGAAGCGGCAAAUGCGACACCUUCAGAGAAUGAACCGGAGGAGCCGGAGGCAACCGCAAAGGCCUUCUUGGAGGUCCUGGCCUCGUCGAAGAAACCUCUUUAUGCGGGUGCGAAAAUAUCUCAGCUGGAUGCCAUCUCGCAACUGAUUGCAGUCAAGGCUGAGUACGGCUGUAGCCAGAAAUGCUUUGAAGCAUUCUUGGGAGUAUGGUCUAACAGCCUCCCUGAGGGUCAUGACCUGCCGAAAAGCAUGUACGAUACAAAGAAAAUCAUGAAGGCACUCUCUAUGGAUUAUGAGAAAAUAGAUGGUUGCCCGAAGAAUUGCCUUUUGUUUAGGCACGAGUAUGCGGAUGACAAGUACUGUAGGCAGUGCGGUUCGUCUUGGUACAUUGAGGUG